GACGAACGCUGGCGGCGUGCCUAAUACAUGCAAGUCGAACGCAGUGGGGACGGGUGAGUAACACGUGGGUAACCUCCCAUCAGAGGGGAUAACACUUGGAAACAGGUGCUAAACCGAUACUGAUGGAUGGACCCGCGGUGGAUUAGCCAGUUGGUGAGGUAACGGCUCACCAAGGCCACGAUGCAUAGCCGGCCUGGGAGGGGGAUCAGCCAAACUGGGACUGAGACACGGCCCAGACGCCUACGGGAGGCAGCAGUAGGGAAUAUUGGGCAAUGGGCGAAAGUCUGACCGAGCAACGCCGCGGGAGUGAAGAAGGUUUUCGGGUUGUAAAGCUCUGUUGUUAGAGAAGCGGUAUCUAACCAGAAAGCCACGGCUAACUACGUGCCAGCAGCCGCGGUAAUUC
This 403-nucleotide ribosomal RNA is filed under the name uncultured bacterium. Its description in RNAcentral is "partial 16S ribosomal RNA". It matches the Rfam family "Bacterial small subunit ribosomal RNA", at positions 28 to 526 of the family's 1533-position model. The record is from RNAcentral.